GCUUCCUACCGUUGACAGGUUUGCAGACAUAUUCCUGAAUGAUGCAAAGUGUUAGUUUUCGGUUCACAAUGAAGAUCAUUCAAGUGUGCCUAGCUCUGAUAGGCGCUGCCUACGCUCAUUUACCUAUUGGAGAAGUUGAGAAACGAUGCCUGGUGGACAAACCGCACGUGUCACAAGGUGUCGCUUACGUCGCGGACGUCGAUUGCGCCUAUUACUGGCAGUGUGACUUCGCCAACACCCUACUGAAAAAUGUCACCCUAAAAUCUUGUCCCAUCGGAACGCUGUGGGCCUCCAUCGCGAGUUUA
Molecule: long non-coding RNA, 305 nt
Organism: Lingula anatina
Lineage: Eukaryota; Metazoa; Brachiopoda; Lingulata; Lingulida; Lingulidae
Source: RefSeq, a predicted model, not a curated record